RNAcentral lists this ribosomal RNA (484 nucleotides) under uncultured bacterium. RNAcentral's name for it is "partial 16S ribosomal RNA". It matches the Rfam family "Bacterial small subunit ribosomal RNA", at positions 29 to 507 of the family's 1533-position model. The record is from RNAcentral.
AUUGAACGCUGGCGGCAUGCUUUACACAUGCAAGUCGAACGGCAGCGCGGGCUUCGGCCUGGCGGCGAGUGGCGAACGGGUGAGUAAUACAUCGGAACGUGCCCAGUAGUGGGGGAUAGCUCGGCGAAAGCCGGAUUAAUACCGCAUACGACCUGAGGGUGAAAGCGGGGGAUCUUCGGACCUCGCGCUAUUGGAGCGGCCGAUGGCAGAUUAGCUAGUUGGUGGGGUAAAGGCCUACCAAGGCGACGAUCUGCAGCUGGUCUGAGAGGACGACCGGCCACACUGGGACUGAGAAACGGCCCAGACUCCUACGGGAGGCAGCAGUGGGGAAUUUUGGACAAUGGGCGAAAGCCUGAUCCAGCAAUGCCGCGUGUGUGAUGAAGGCCUUCGGGUUGUAAAGCACUUUUGGCGGGAACGAAAAGGACUGUGCCAAUACCACGGUUCGAUGACGGUACCCGCAGAAUAAGCACCGGCUAACUACGUG